GUGACACAUUAUCUUGGAAAGCACGGUUGGACAUAAUUUAGGAUGGAAAAUAAAAAUAGUGAGUAAAUUUUCAACCUUACCUAGAGUAACCCUGGAGUAGGUUAACUAACAAAGUAGCAAACUCGUUUCAGAGCUUUCUGGAGUGGUGCCCAGAGGAUACUGACGGAGCAGUGACUGGUCUUCCAGAAAGAGUAAGGAAUGGCCUCGCGCGUGUGGCAGCAGCCGUGCUAGAAUGCUCAUCUCCUGGACAGAGGACUCCCCCUAAGCACACGCAGGCUGAGCAGCCUGGAUGAGAAAGAAGGCCGUUAUAGAAGGGAAACCAACACUUCCAUCAAAAUUAAAGUCAUUGAAAGAAUUUACCCUGAAGUAUUCAAAGGUCUCUACGUCUCUUUGUUCUGUGCCCCAAAUCCACUGGCAACAGGAACCAUUCUCAAGACUGGUCCCUCUUACAGAGUUCCCCAGGACCAUGCUCUGUGUGAAGGAGGAAUAGCUCAUGGAAACCAUAAAAACAGUUAUUUAGUGAGAGAUGGUCCUAUUUCUAUCAAUGCAAUUGCAGCAUAAUGCCAUUAAAAAUGAUAAAUAACAGGGGCGUCUGGGUGGCGCAGUCGUUAAACGUCUGCCUUCGGCUCAGGGCGUGAUCUCAGCGUUCUGGGAUCGAGCCCCACAUCAG
Molecule: long non-coding RNA, 670 nt
Filed under: Ursus maritimus (polar bear)
Lineage: Eukaryota; Metazoa; Chordata; Mammalia; Carnivora; Ursidae
Description: lncRNA (ENSUMAG00000023384.1)
Source: RNAcentral